Molecule: ribosomal RNA, 459 nt
Filed under: uncultured bacterium
Lineage: Bacteria
Description: partial 16S ribosomal RNA
Rfam family: Bacterial small subunit ribosomal RNA
Source: RNAcentral
CUACGGGAGGCAGCAGUAAGGAAUAUUGCGCAAUGGAGGCAACUCUGACGCAGCCAUGCCGCGUGCAGGAAGAAGGCCUUAUGGGUCGUAAACUGCUUUUAUUUAGGAAUAAACCCUCGCUCGUGAGCGAGGCUGAAGGUACUGAAUGAAUAAGCACCGGCUAACUCCGUGCCAGCAGCCGCGGUAAUAGGGAGGGUGCAAGCGUUAUCCGGAUUUAUUGGGUUUAAAGGGUGCGCAGGCGGGCUAUUAAGUCAGUGGUGAAAUCCCGGGGCUCAACUCCGGAACUGCCAUUGAUACUGAUAGUCUUGAGUUUGGUUGAAGUGGGCGGAAUGUAGCAUGUAGCGGUGAAAUGCAUAGAUAUGCUACAGAACACCAAUCGCGAAGGCAGCUCACUAAGCCAAAACUGACGCUCAUGCACGAAAGCGUGGGGAUCAAACAGGAUUAGAUACCCCGGUAGUC